RNAcentral lists this ribosomal RNA (427 nucleotides) under uncultured bacterium. RNAcentral's name for it is "partial 16S ribosomal RNA". It matches the Rfam family "Bacterial small subunit ribosomal RNA", at positions 355 to 774 of the family's 1533-position model. The record is from RNAcentral.
UGGGGAAUAUUGGACAAUGGGCGAAAGCCUGAUCCAGCCAUGCCGCGUGUGUGAAGAAGGUCUUCGGAUUGUAAAGCACUUUAAGUUGGGAGGAAGGGCAGUAAGUUAAUACCUUGCUGUUUUGACGUUACCGACAGAAUAAGCACCGGCUAACUCUGUGCCAGCAGCCGCGGUAAUACAGAGGGUGCAAGCGUUAAUCGGAAUUACUGGGCGUAAAGCGCGCGAAGGUGGUUUGUUAAGUUGGAUGUGAAAGCCCCGGGCUCAACCUGGGAACUGCAUCCAAAACUGGCAAGCUAGAGUACGGUAGAGGGUGGUGGAAUUUCCUGUGUAGCGGUGAAAUGCGUAGAUAUAGGAAGGAACACCAGUGGCGAAGGCGACCACCUGGACUGAUACUGACACUGAGGUGCGAAAGCGUGGGGAGCAAACA